Molecule: long non-coding RNA, 630 nt
Filed under: Oryza sativa Indica Group (long-grained rice)
Lineage: Eukaryota; Viridiplantae; Streptophyta; Magnoliopsida; Poales; Poaceae
Description: lncRNA OsZS97_11G019730
Source: RNAcentral
UCUAUUCUCCCUGAUGCCGGUCCUAGUGUCGGCGCCUCCGAUGAACGGGGAACCACGUUGCUGCCCUGCGCCAUCCACAGGCCCUGUCAAUCUGCCAUCCGUCGCUGCUCAUCUCCGGUCGACGACGAGCCUCCGCCGACCCUCCCCCUUCCGGUGACCGGUCCUAGCCACCAUGGACUCAGGUGCUCCAGAUCCGGACACCCUGAACUCGGAGGUCGCGGAUCCAACCAUCCCGAGUUUGGGUACUCCAAAUCCCACGACCCUAGCUUCACCAGCUCCAGAUCCGGCCUCGAGGUAAGCGGUCCGCCGUCCCUCACACCACCCCGCGUCGUCGAGGUCGACCUGCCAUGGGGAGAGCAGGCGCCAGCUAUUCCCCUUCCACCCGAUCCUCGAACGUUGUACAACAUGAAAAAUCAAGGUAUGCCUCUCAUCCAAUAUCUAAUGAGUUUGAUCCUAGCAUUCAUGUCUUAUCUGAAUUGGCAGAGUACUACUGGAAUAAUUGUGAGGUCCACUUAUCAUUUCAAGUGUCGUAUUUCAUUUUUCAUGCUUGUACAGAUAAAUUUAUCUUGCUCGCUUGUUAUUUAUUUUGUAAUGAUGAAGAAAAUUAUGCCAACUGAACCUCUUUUUUAA